Suricata suricatta (meerkat) is the source of this 2037-nucleotide long non-coding RNA. RefSeq lists it as uncharacterized. Lineage: Eukaryota; Metazoa; Chordata; Mammalia; Carnivora; Herpestidae. The record is from RefSeq and is a predicted model, not a curated record. The transcript is spliced from 2 exons.
AGCAGCCCGGGCUACAAAGGGUUAAGCCUGACCGUGAGGGAUGUCCCCAGAGUCCCACGCCUGGAUUCCUGUGCCUCCUCUGCCUCGGGGUGCGAGUCUGCGAGAGUCCGGGGCAUGGACUGAAAGACCCCAGCGUGGGCAGCGCUGAGCGCCGCGCUCUACCCCCAUCCGGAUAUUGAGUUCAAGAGGUAGCCAGGAGCGAACCAAGAAGACAUGCCCCCAUCCAUCCCGGAUUCCUGACCACCUCCUAGGAAAACCUCAAGUACCGAAAUGAAGCCCAACCUUGGUUCCCUGCAUCCCCUCAAGCCUCUAGCAGUCCUCUCCUGGAGAAGAGCCACGAGGGGGGAAGGUGGCCCUGGCUCAGCAGAGCUCUGCCCGCCUUGUGCCAGAUACUGUUGGUGGCGCCUCGAGAACCCAGGAGGCCCAGGUCUCCGGCCUGGCGGCAGGCGCAGGGCCUGCGUGGCCGAGGCUCCCGCGUGGUCAGGCCGGGCCCAGCCCCGGCGGUCGCGGGCCUGGGACCAGUAGGGUCUCCCGCGCUGCCCAGAGCGCUGCCUACAGGGUGCCGGUGGCGGCCACAACAAAGUUAAAGCCGGGAGUCGGAGUCUCCGGCGAGAAGAGCGCGGAGACGCGGCAGCCUCGGAAAGCCGCGCGCAGCCCCGCCAGCCGCCGCCAGCUGCGGAGGGAUUUCGGCUAACUUUGAAAGCCGCUCGCAUCCCUCCCGUCACAUUCGCGGCCGCGGCGGGCAGGCUCGCCCGCUCGCUCCCUUCCCCCCAGCCGCGAGGGAACGCAGGAGCGACCGGCCGGGGGCUGCCCCUCCCCUACCCCGAGCCACCGGGCUGAGCACCCUCCUCCCGCACCGAGGCCGAGGGCGACCGCCGGGAGGAGAUACCCGCUGCCCCCGUCCUUCGAAGCCGUCCCUUGCGUCCCCGCCGCGGCCGCUGGAGCGGUGCCCCCAGGUGGGGGCGGGGGCCAGUCGGGAGCGAGCAGGAAAGAGAAGUUGGCGCCUUCCCCAGGGUUCCCGCUCCUCGGAGAAGCCCGGUCCCAGAACUCGGUCUGUGUCCGGUCGUGCUGGCAGUGGCCGGGAAAUGCGCCCGCCACUCGGGUUGGGGCUGGAACGCUUCGCUCCUCUCCGCCAGGUCUGGUCUCUCGCGCGCGCUCCAAGGGCCCCUCGCCCGCCGCGGUCCGGCUGCCUCCUCCCCAAUGUCCCCAUCCGCCCUGCCGCCCCCAGUCCCUUCGACUCUGAGGGCACGGAGCCUGGGAGCCGGGCGUGGAGCAAGAGAGCUGGCACCGCGAGCUGGGCGACGGCGGCAGCCUAGCGGCCCGACCAGCUGGAGGAGAGGCGCCCGCCGGAGCAGAGGGACGCGGAGCCCGCCGUCUGCGGAGUCUCGCCUUCCAGCUCCCACGCAGCGGGCGCAGGCUGGACGGCGGCGGCGAGAGACGGACCCGGGAUCCGGUUUCCCUCCCUAAGCCCAUCUCUCGGGGAGGCACAGUUGGGGCUGGGGCUCCGGGAAGACAGAAUUCAAAGAGAAUUGUCCACGCUGGGCUAGGGGGGCUGCGGGAGCUGAUAACGGUGGGACUGCCCAGGCCAGACCCUCAGCUUUGGAAGGCAGGACUUGGCGACCCUCUUCAACCACAGGGGUUUCGGGGGAAGAUGGCUAAAUUCUUACACUGGGAGGGUAUCUGAGAUGCACCCUGGUACUUACUUCCCACCCGUCUUCCCCCAACCAUGCAGGGGGACUUGGCCCCCUUCCCCUUUCCUCCUGAGAACGAAUAAAGAGAAACUGUCAUUUUCCGUGGGAUGGAGCAAGACCCAUGGGGGAACAAGCUAGAAAGGGUUAAAAAAAACAACUACCUUGUUUAUUAGCAAUAAUAAUUUUUUUUUCAAGUGGCGCUGGGUGUCGAGGGAAAGGAAGGGCUAUGGAGCGAGUCUGGAGCAGGAGGCUGGGAAUUACGCAGUUAGGUGAGUUUAAUGACCUUUUUGACAGAGACAAAGCGGUGCCCAUACAGUAGAUAAAUAAACGGAUCUGUCACCGGGCA